GUGGGGAAUUUUGGACAAUGUGCGCAAGCCUGAUCCAGCAAUGCCGCGUGCAGGAAGAAGGCCUUCGGGUUGUAAACUGCUUUUGUACGGAACGAAACGGUCCUGGUUAAUACCUGGGGCUAAUGACGGUACCGUAAGAAUAAGCACCGGCUAACUACGUGCCAGCAGCCGCGGUAAUACGUAGGGUGCAAGCGUUAAUCGGAAUUACUGGGCGUAAAGCGUGAGCAGGCGGUUUUGUAAGACAGGCGUGAAAUCCCCGGGCUCAACCUGGGAAUGGCGCUUGUGACUGCAAGGCUGGAGUGCGGCAGAGGGGGAUGGAAUUCCGCGUGUAGCAGUGAAAUGCGUAGAUAUGCGGAGGAACACCGAUGGCGAAGGCAAUCCCCUGGGCCUGCACUGACGCUCAUGCACGAAAGCGUGGGGAGCAAACAGGAUUAGAAACCCCGGUAGUCC
RNAcentral lists this ribosomal RNA (450 nucleotides) under uncultured bacterium. RNAcentral describes it as "partial 16S ribosomal RNA". It matches the Rfam family "Bacterial small subunit ribosomal RNA", at positions 354 to 796 of the family's 1533-position model. The record is from RNAcentral.